CGGACGGGUGAGUAACGCGUGGGUAACCUGCCUCAUACAGGGGGAUAACAGUUGGAAACGACUGCUAAUACCGCAUAAGCGCACAGUACCGCAUGGUACGGUGUGAAAAACUCCGGUGGUAUGAGAUGGACUCGCGUCUGAUUAGCCAGUUGGCGGGGUAACGGCCCACCAAAGCGACGAUCAGUAGCCGACCUGAGAGGGUGACCGGCCACAUUGGGACUGAGACACGGCCCAAACUCCUACGGGAGGCAGCAG
This 255-nucleotide ribosomal RNA is filed under the name uncultured bacterium. RNAcentral describes it as "partial 16S ribosomal RNA". It matches the Rfam family "Bacterial small subunit ribosomal RNA", at positions 99 to 354 of the family's 1533-position model. The record is from RNAcentral.